Non-coding RNA from Mycena crocata, 95 nucleotides. The record is from the annotation of a GenBank genome assembly. NCBI's taxonomy places the organism in Eukaryota, Fungi, Basidiomycota, Agaricomycetes, Agaricales, Mycenaceae.
UGGGGUGUGGUGCAAGGUGCACGGCAGCUACGCUUAACUUAUCAGAGGUGAAAUAUUCAAAGCUGUUAUUUGGGGUUCGAAUCCCCACUCCCGAA